Molecule: small nucleolar RNA, 93 nt
Organism: Micropterus dolomieu (smallmouth bass)
Lineage: Eukaryota; Metazoa; Chordata; Actinopteri; Centrarchiformes; Centrarchidae
Product: small nucleolar SNORD12/SNORD106
Exons: 1
Source: RefSeq, a predicted model, not a curated record
UAUGUGGUUAAUGAUGCUCACUUUUUUCCCCGUCUUAUCGACUUUGGUGAAAAAAACCCUGAAAACUAAGCCAGUUUUGUCUGAAACCACAUG